Molecule: ribosomal RNA, 385 nt
Filed under: uncultured bacterium
Lineage: Bacteria
Description: bacterial SSU rRNA
Rfam family: Bacterial small subunit ribosomal RNA
Source: RNAcentral
ACUCCUACGGGAGGCAGCAGUGGGGAAUAUUGGCACAAUGGGCGCAAGCCUGAUGCAGCCAUGCCGCGUGUGUGAAGAAGGCCUUCGGGGUUGUUAAAAGCACUUUCAGUUCGUGAGGGAAGGUAGUGUAGUUAAUAGCUGCAUUAUUUGACGUUAGCGACAGAAGAAGCACCGGCUAACUCCGUGCCAGCAGCCGCGGUAAUACGGAGGGUGCGAGCGUUAAUCGGAAUUACUGGGCGUUAAAGCGCAUGUCAGGUGGUUUGUUAAGUCAGAUGUGAAAGCCCGGGGCUCAACCUCGGAAUUGCAUUUGAAACUGGCAGACUAGAGUACUGUAGAGGGGGUGAAAUUUAUCAGGUGUAGCAGGUGAAAUGCGUAGAGAUCUGAA